RNAcentral lists this transfer RNA (66 nucleotides) under Nesodiprion zhejiangensis. RNAcentral's name for it is "tRNA-Glu". RNAcentral also lists the same sequence under 1 other name. Lineage: Eukaryota; Metazoa; Arthropoda; Insecta; Hymenoptera; Diprionidae. The record is from RNAcentral.
AUUUAUAUAGUUUAUUUUAAAACAUUACAUUUUCAUUGUAAAAAUAAAUUUAAAAUUUUAUAAAUU